RNAcentral lists this small RNA (303 nucleotides) under Histoplasma capsulatum var. duboisii H88. RNAcentral's name for it is "Histoplasma capsulatum H88 hypothetical RNA". Lineage: Eukaryota; Fungi; Ascomycota; Eurotiomycetes; Onygenales; Ajellomycetaceae. The record is from RNAcentral.
CACUUUAAAGCAACUUAACCUGAAAGUCGUUAGCUGGGUCAAGGGUGCCAACUGUCCUAGAGGUUCAAUUCAUGCUGUGAUGGAGAAGAAAAGAUUGGAGGGAUCGACUUGAAUGAAAUGAUAAGGUUGACUGCCAGGCUCAAACGCUCACACGCUCACCACACGCUUUCCUCAGAAUUCAGAGCAAAAAAAAAGAAAAACAAAAUUAUCAAAUCCAGCCGAAAAUUUUUCAAUUAGCGUGGUUGUGGGCAUUUAUCACCCCGGUGAGUGGCAUAAAAAGACGAUUAUUUCACUAGUAAUCCC